CCUACGGGCGGCAGCAGUGGGGGAUAUUGCACAAUGGGGGAAACCCUGAUGCAGCGACGCCGCGUGUGGGAAGACGGUCCUCUGGAUUGUAAACCACUGUCCCCAGGGACGAAGAUGACGGUACCUGGGGAGGAAGCUCCGGCUAACUACGUGCCAGCAGCCGCGGUAAGAAGUAGGGAGCGAGCGUUGUCCGGAAUUACUGGGUGUAAAGGGAGCGGAGGCGGGACUGCAAGUUGGGUGUCAAAUCUACCGGCUCAACCGGUAGCCGCACUCAAAACUGCAGUUCUUGAGGGAAGUAGAGGCAGGCGGAAUUCCUAGUGUAGCGGUGAAAUGCGUAGAUAUUAGGAGGAACACCAGUGGCGAAGGCGGCCUGCUGGGCUUUUACUGACGCUGAGGCUCGAAAGUGUGGGGAGCAAACAGGAUUAGAUACCCUAGUAGUC
Molecule: ribosomal RNA, 440 nt
Filed under: uncultured bacterium
Lineage: Bacteria
Description: partial 16S ribosomal RNA
Rfam family: Bacterial small subunit ribosomal RNA
Source: RNAcentral